This 546-nucleotide ribosomal RNA is filed under the name uncultured Gammaproteobacteria bacterium. RNAcentral describes it as "bacterial SSU rRNA". It matches the Rfam family "Bacterial small subunit ribosomal RNA", at positions 97 to 639 of the family's 1533-position model. The record is from RNAcentral. Lineage: Bacteria; Pseudomonadati; Pseudomonadota; Gammaproteobacteria.
GGCGGACGGGUGAGGAAUGCUUGGGAAUCUGCCUGUUAGUGGGGGACAACCCGGGGAAACCCGGGCUAAUACCGCAUACGCUCUACGGAGGAAAGCGGGGGACCGAAAGGCCUCGCGCUAACAGAUGAGCCCAAGUCGGAUUAGCUAGUUGGUGGGGUAAAGGCCUACCAAGGCUACGAUCCGUAGCUGGUCUGAGAGGACGAUCAGCCACACUGGGACUGAGACACGGCCCAGACUCCUACGGGAGGCAGCAGUGGGGAAUAUUGGACAAUGGGGGCAACCCUGAUCCAGCAAUGCCGCGUGUGUGAAGAAGGCCUGCGGGUUGUAAAGCACUUUUGGCAGGGAUGAAAAGCACUGGCCUAAUAAGCCAGUGUGUUGACCUAACCUGCAGAAGAAGCACCGGCUAACUCUGUGCCAGCAGCCGCGGUAAUACAGAGGGUGCAAGCGUUAAUCGGAAUUACUGGGCGUAAAGCGCGCGUAGGCCGUCGAGUAAGUCGGUUGUGAAAUCCCCGGGCUUAACCUGGGAAUUGCAGUCGAUACUGCUUG